CCUGCCGCUGGAGGAUUUGUGGAUUUGAUUACUGUGUCACAUGUGCAUCAGUAAGUGGCAGAGGCAAGAAAUGCCAUGUCUAUGCUCAGUGUUCUGACAUAUGAACACUGAAUGAUUAGUAGCCCAACACU
Molecule: small nucleolar RNA, 131 nt
Organism: Apodemus sylvaticus (European woodmouse)
Lineage: Eukaryota; Metazoa; Chordata; Mammalia; Rodentia; Muridae
Product: small nucleolar RNA SNORA17
Exons: 1
Source: RefSeq, a predicted model, not a curated record